GCAGCUAACGCAUUAAGUGUACCGCCUGGGGAGUACGGUCGCAAGAUUAAAACUCAAAGGAAUAGACGGGGACCCGCACAAGCGGUGGAGCAUGUGGUUUAAUUCGAAGAUACGCGAAGAACCUUACCUGGGCUUGAUAUCCUAAGAACCUUAUAGAGAUAUGAGGGUGCUAGCUUGCUAGAACUUAGAGACAGGUGCUGCACGGCUGUCGUCAGCUCGUGUCGUGAGAUGUUGGGUUAAGUCCCGCAACGAGCGCAACCCACGUAUUUAGUUGCUAACGGUUCGGCCGAGCACUCUAAAUAGACUGCCUUCGUAAGGAGGAGGAAGGUGUGGACGACGUCAAGUCAUCAUGGCCCUUAUGCCCAGGGCGACACACGUGCUACAAUGGCAUAUACAAUGAGACGCAAUACCGCGAGGUGGAGCAAAUCUAUAAAAUAUGUCCCAGUUCGGAUUGUUCUCUGCAACUCGAGAGCAUGAAGCCGGAAUCGCUAGUAAUCGUAGAUCAGCCAUGCUACGGUGAAUACGUUCCCGGGUCUUGUACUCACCGCCCGUCACACCAUGGGAGUUGAUUUCACUCGAAGCCGGAAUACUAAACUAGUUACCGUCCACAGUGGAAUCAGCGACUGGGGUGAAGUCGUAACAAGGUAACCGUAGGAGAACCUGCGGUUGGAUCACCUCCUUUCUA
RNAcentral lists this ribosomal RNA (685 nucleotides) under Campylobacter jejuni. RNAcentral's name for it is "bacterial SSU rRNA". It matches the Rfam family "Bacterial small subunit ribosomal RNA", at positions 848 to 1533 of the family's 1533-position model. Lineage: Bacteria; Pseudomonadati; Campylobacterota; Epsilonproteobacteria; Campylobacterales; Campylobacteraceae. The record is from RNAcentral.